AGGAAUCUGCCUGGUAGUGGGGGAUAACGUCCGGAAACGGACGCUAAUACCGCAUACGUCCUACGGGAGAAAGCAGGGGACCUUCGGGCCUUGCGCUAUCAGAUGAGCCUAGGUCGGAUUAGCUAGUUGGUGGGGUAAUGGCUCACCAAGGCGACGAUCCGUAACUGGUCUGAGAGGAUGAUCAGUCACACUGGAACUGAGACACGGUCCAGACUCCUACGGGAGGCAGCAGUGGGGAAUAUUGGACAAUGGGCGAAAGCCUGAUCCAGCCAUGCCGCGUGUGUGAAGAAGGUCUUCGGAUUGUAAAGCACUUUAAGUUGGGAGGAAGGGCAGUAAAUUAAUACUUUGCUGUUUUGACGUUACCGACAGAAUAAGCACCGGCUAACUCUGUGCCAGCAGCCGCGGUAAUACAGAGGGUGCAAGCGUUAAUCGGAAUUACUGGGCGUAAAGCGCGCGUAGGUGGUUCGUUAAGUUGGAUGUGAAAUCCCCGGGCUCAACCUGGGAACUGCAUUCAAAACUGACGAGCUAGAGUAUGGUAGAGGGUGGUGGAAUUUCCUGUGUAGCGGUGAAAUGCGUAGAUAUAGGAA
Molecule: ribosomal RNA, 587 nt
Filed under: uncultured bacterium
Lineage: Bacteria
Description: bacterial SSU rRNA
Rfam family: Bacterial small subunit ribosomal RNA
Source: RNAcentral